UGGGUUGGUAAAUCUCGUGCCAGCCACCGCGGUUAUACGAUGAGGCUCAAAUUGAUAUUCUACGGCGUAAAGCGUGAUUAGAGGAAAUAAAAACUAAAGCCGAACACCUCCUUAACUGUCAUACGUUUAAAGAAGUAAGAAGCCCCACAACGAAAGUAGCUUUAACUCAAGGACUUGAAUUCACGAAAAUUAAGAAACAAACUGGGAUUAGAUACCCCACUAUGCUUAACCGUAAACAACGAUGGAAUCUUACAAAUACCAUCCGCCAGGGAAUUACGAACAUUAGUUUAAAACCCAAAGGACUUGGCGGUGCUUCAAACCCACCUAGAGGAGCCUGUCCUAUAACCGAUAAUCCCCGUUUAACCUCACCACUCCUUGCCAACCCAGUUUAUAUACCACCGUCGCCAGCUUACCCCAUGAGGGAACAACAGUAAGCUAAAUGGGCCCCGCCCAGCACGUCAGGUCGAGGUGUAGCCAACGCAGUGGGAAGAGAUGGGCUACAUUUUCUGAAACAGAAUAUUACUGAAGGUGUCAUGAAAUAAAACACAAUUGAAGGUGGAUUUAGCAGUAAAAAGAAAGUAGAGAACUCUUUUGAAACUGGCUCUGAAGCGCGCACACACCGCCCGUCACCCUCCUA
RNAcentral lists this ribosomal RNA (637 nucleotides) under Callechelys catostoma (black-striped snake eel). RNAcentral's name for it is "partial 12S ribosomal RNA subunit". It matches the Rfam family "Bacterial small subunit ribosomal RNA", at positions 488 to 1407 of the family's 1533-position model. Lineage: Eukaryota; Metazoa; Chordata; Actinopteri; Anguilliformes; Ophichthidae. The record is from RNAcentral.